GGACUACCGGGGUUUCUAAUCCCGUUCGCUCCCCACGCUUUCGCACCUCAGCGUCAGUGUUAGCCCAGAGCACUGCCUUCGCCAUCGGUAUUCCUCCUGAUCUCUACGCAUUUCACCGCUACACCAGGAAUUCCAUGCUCCUCUGCCACACUCAAGUCUCCCAGUCUCCAAGGCACUGUUCACGUUGAGCGCUGAACCUUUCACCCCAGACUUAAGAAACCGCCUACGCGCGCUUUACGCCCAGUAACUUCGGACAACGCUCGCCCCCUACGUAUUACCGCGGCUGCUGGCAC
Molecule: ribosomal RNA, 293 nt
Filed under: uncultured bacterium
Lineage: Bacteria
Description: partial 16S ribosomal RNA
Source: RNAcentral